CGGGGUCUCGCACAGGCUCCAGGCCCUUGGGGUCCCGGAGGGUCCAGCAGAAGGGUCUGUGUUUUGCCCGGGGUCCUGAGAGCGUGCUGGGGAUAGCAGGGGUGGAGUGCAGGUGUGCCCAUGGGCGCCCCGGGUCCAGGGCCCGCGGAGCCGCUCUCGGGGCGGAGACCUUGCCCCCAGGGGCACGUCAGCGGUCCUGAGGUGAGGCUCCUGCAGAGCACUCUGGGCCGCGUGUGUCUCUCCCUGCGUGGGCAGGCAGUGUCGGUGGCCGGAGCGAGGGUGUUUUCCCAUCGGGGUGAGAGGGAGAGCCCCAGGGUGGGCCUGGGGGCGGAAUCGGACUCGGGGUUGGGGUGGACUCUUCUGAAGCUGGGAGGGGUGCGGGUGGGCAGGGCCUUAGGGAGCCUGAGGGAGGCGCGGUUCCUGGGGAAGGGUGUGGCGAGGCGGCGGCAGCCCGCGUCGCGCUGUGGCGCCCCAGCGAAGGGGCAGUGCUGGCCACUCGUGUGGCCCUUUGGCUGCUGGCACCCAGUGAGAGGGGGAGGCCAGGGACAGGUGGCAGCCAGGCUGCCCACAGGCCCUGGGCGGUGGGGGCCCGGCCCCUGUGCCUUGGGCAGCCUGGCCCUUGCUGAGGCGUGCUUGCGCGUGUCCGUUGUCGCCCUCACCCAGCUGCUGCGGCGGAGAGACGGAGGCCAGCGCGGGGAGCGGAAGCCGGAGCCUGUCGGGAGCGACCCCGGGAAGGCCAGUCCCUCCUGCCGGUGGGAGGCGUGUUGGCGUGCGGCCGGUGGCGGGAUCGAUGGCCACCUGGUAGGCGAUGCUGCUGCGGCGGAGAGACGGAGGCCAGCGCGGGGAGCGGAAGCCGGAGCCUGUCGGGAGCGACCCCGGGAAGGCCAGUCCCUCCUGCCGGUGGGAGGCGUGUUGGCGUGCGGCCGGUGGCGGGAUCGAUGGCCACCUGGUAGGCGAUGCUGCUGCGGCGGAGAGACGGAGGCCAGCGCGGGGAGCGGAAGCCGGAGCCUGUCGGGAGCGACCCCGGGAAGGCCAGUCCCUCCUGCCGGUGGGAGGCGUGUUGGCGUGCGGCCGGUGGCGGGAUCGAUGGCCACCUGGUAGGCGAUGGUAAGCGGCAGUGGCCUGCGCCAAGGUAGCCCCCGGGGGCGGUGUGUGGCGCCCGGACCCGCACCCUCUGCUCCCGGGGGUGGAGCUGACCUGCUUGCCCGCGGUUGGGCUCGGGAGCCUGCGGGCCGCGGCCAGGAGGGAGCUGGCUGGCCGUCCCGGCGGUGGGGGCUGUGGCGGUGGCCGUCCCGCGGGUGUGCCCGUGCUCGGAUCGAUGAUGACACCCACAAACGCAUUCCUUGGAAAAUCUGAACAAAAUGAGUGAGAACUCACUACCGUCUCCUCAUCGCAAACUGAGGUCCGGCACGUGGCUCCCACAGGGGCCGUCGGGGGAGGGUCCCGUUGCCUUGGCUCCCUUGGGUGCGUGCAGCCCUGGGGCGCAGGUGGGAGGCAGGCAGGCCUCCGGUGGCCC
RNAcentral lists this long non-coding RNA (1516 nucleotides) under Sus scrofa (pig). RNAcentral's name for it is "lncRNA (ENSSSCG00070003110.1)". The stretch from base 1313 to 1406 matches the Rfam family "Small nucleolar RNA SNORD116". The record is from RNAcentral. Lineage: Eukaryota; Metazoa; Chordata; Mammalia; Artiodactyla; Suidae.